GAUGAACGCUGGCGGCGUGCCUAAUACAUGCAAGUCGAGCGAACGGACGAGAAGCUUGCUUCUCUGACGUUAGCGGCGCACGGGUGAGUAACACGUGGAAAACCUACCUAUAAGACUGGGAUAACUUCGGAAAACCGGCGCUAAUACCGGAUAAUAUCUUGAAGCGCAUGGUUCAAUAGAGAAAGACGGUGUUGCUGUCAGUUAUAGCUGCAUCCCGGCUGCAUUAGCUAGUUGGUAAGGUAAAGGGUUACCAAGGCAACGAGGCGUAGCCGACCUGAGAGAGUGAUCGGCCACACUGGAGCGGAGACACGCUCCAGACUCCUACGGGAGGCAGCAGUAGGGAAUCUUCCGCAAUGGGCGAAAGCCUGACGGAGUAACGCCGCGUGAGUGAUGAAGGUCUUCGGAUCGUAAAACUCUGUUAUGAGGGAAGAACAGAUGUGUAAGUAACUGUGCACUUCUUGACGGUACCUAAUCAGAAAGCCACGGCUAACUACGUG
RNAcentral lists this ribosomal RNA (497 nucleotides) under uncultured bacterium. RNAcentral's name for it is "partial 16S ribosomal RNA". It matches the Rfam family "Bacterial small subunit ribosomal RNA", at positions 28 to 507 of the family's 1533-position model. The record is from RNAcentral.